RNAcentral lists this ribosomal RNA (301 nucleotides) under uncultured bacterium. RNAcentral describes it as "partial 16S ribosomal RNA". It matches the Rfam family "Bacterial small subunit ribosomal RNA", at positions 509 to 808 of the family's 1533-position model. The record is from RNAcentral.
CAGUCGCCGCGGGAAUACGUAGGUCCCGAGCGUUGUCCGGAUUUAUUGGGCGUAAAGCGAGCGCAGGCGGUUAGAUAAGUCUGAAGUUAAAGGCUGUGGCUUAACCAUAGUACGCUUUGGAAACUGUUUAACUUGAGUGCAAGAGGGGAGAGUGGAAUUCCAUGUGUAGCGGUGAAAUGCGUAGAUAUAUGGAGGAACACCGGUGGCGAAAGCGGCUCUCUGGCUUGUAACUGACGCUGAGGCUCGAAAACGUGGGGCGCAAACAUGAUUAGAGACCCGAGUAGUCCCUGUCUCUUAUACA